GACGAACGCUGGCGGCGUGCUUAACACAUGCAAGUCGAACGAUGAAGCCGGAGCUUGCUCUGGUGAAUUAGUGGCGAACGGGUGAGUAACACGUGAGUAACCUGCCCUUGACUCUGGGAUAACUGCGGGAAACUGUAGCUAAUACCGGAUACGACCCUCGGAGGCAUCUCCUGGGGGUGGAAAGAAUUUCGGUCAAGGAUGGACUCGCGGCCUAUCAGCUAGUUGGUGAGGUAAAGGCUCACCAAGGCGACGACGAGUAGCCGGCCUGAGAGGGUGGCCGGCCACACUGGGACUGAGACACGGCCCAGACUCCUACGGGAGGCAGCAGUGGGGAAUAUUGCACAAUGGGCGAAAGCCUGAUGCAGCAACGCCGCGUGAGGGAUGAAGGCCUUCGGGUUGUAAACCUCUUUUAGCAGGGAAGAAGCGAAAGUGACGGUACCUGCAGAAAAAGCACCGGCUAACUACGUGCCAGCAGCCGCCGUAA
Molecule: ribosomal RNA, 484 nt
Filed under: uncultured bacterium
Lineage: Bacteria
Description: partial 16S ribosomal RNA
Rfam family: Bacterial small subunit ribosomal RNA
Source: RNAcentral